Molecule: ribosomal RNA, 916 nt
Filed under: uncultured bacterium
Lineage: Bacteria
Description: bacterial SSU rRNA
Rfam family: Bacterial small subunit ribosomal RNA
Source: RNAcentral
ACAUGCAAGUCGAACGGCAGCGCGGGGCAACCUGGCGGCGAGUGGCGAACGGGUGAGUAAUAUAUCGGAACGUACCCUGGAGUGGGGGAUAACGUAGCGAAAGUUACGCUAAUACCGCAUACGAUCUAAGGAUGAAAGUGGGGGAUCGCAAGACCUCAUGCUCCUGGAGCGGCCGAUAUCUGAUUAGCUAGUUGGUGGGGUAAAGGCCUACCAAGGCAUCGAUCAGUAGCUGGUCUGAGAGGACGACCAGCCACACUGGAACUGAGACACGGUCCAGACUCCUACGGGAGGCAGCAGUGGGGAAUUUUGGACAAUGGGCGAAAGCCUGAUCCAGCAAUGCCGCGUGAGUGAAGAAGGCCUUCGGGUUGUAAAGCUCUUUUGUCAGGGAAGAAACGGUGAGGGCUAAUAUCCCUUGCUAAUGACGGUACCUGAAGAAUAAGCACCGGCUAACUACGUGCCAGCAGCCGCGGUAAUACGUAGGGUGCAAGCGUUAAUCGGAAUUACUGGGCGUAAAGCGUGCGCAGGCGGUUUUGUAAGUCUGUCGUGAAAUCCCCGGGCUCAACCUGGGAAUUGCGAUGGAGACUGCAAGGCUAGAAUCUGGCAGAGGGGGGUAGAAUUCCACGUGUAGCAGUGAAAUGCGUAGAGAUGUGGAGGAACACCGAUGGCGAAGGCAGCCCCCUGGGUCAAGAUUGACGCUCAUGCACGAAAGCGUGGGGAGCAAACAGGAUUAGAUACCCUGGUAGUCCACGCCCUAAACGAUGUCUACUAGUUGUCGGGUUUUAAUUAACUUGGUAACGCAGCUAACGCGUGAAGUAGACCGCCUGGGGAGUACGGUCGCAAGAUUAAAACUCAAAGGAAUUGACGGGGACCCGCACAAGCGGUGGAUGAUGUGGAUUAAUUCGAUGCAACGCGAAAA